This 253-nucleotide ribosomal RNA is filed under the name uncultured bacterium. Its description in RNAcentral is "partial 16S ribosomal RNA". It matches the Rfam family "Bacterial small subunit ribosomal RNA", at positions 524 to 776 of the family's 1533-position model. The record is from RNAcentral.
UACGGAGGGUGCGAGCGUUAAUCGGAAUUACUGGGCGUAAAGGGUGCGUAGGUGGUCUGAUAAGUUAUCUGUAAAAUCCCUGGGCUUAACCUGGGCAGGUCAGAUAAGACUGUUGGACUCGAGUAUGGUAGAGGGUAGUGGAAUUUCCGGUGUAGCGGUGAAAUGCGUAGAGAUCGGAAGGAACACCAGUGGCGAAGGCGGCUACCUGGCCUAAUACUGACACUGAGGCACGAAAGCGUGGGGAGCAAACAGG